AACUAAUAUAAAGUGAAACCGCGAAAGGCUCAUUAAAUCAGUUAUGGUUCCUUAGAUCGUACCACAAAUUUACUUGGAUACCUGUGGUAAUUCUAGAGCUAAUACAUGCUUACAGAACUCUAACCGGAGACGGAAAGAGUGCUUUUAUUAGAAUAAAACCAAUCGGCGACAAUCUUUUUUGCUCGUCGCAUUGUUUGAUGGCUCUGAAUAACUUUUAGCUGAUCGUACGGUCUAGAACCGAUGAUGCAUCUUUCAAAUGUCUGCCUUAUCAACUGUCGAUGGUAGGAUCUGCGCCUACCAUGGUUGUAACGGGUAACGGGGAAUCAGGGUUCGAUUCCGGAGAGGGAGCCUGAGAAACGGCUACCACAUCCAAGGAAGGCAGCAGGCGCGCAAAUUACCCACUCCCAGCACGGGGAGGUAGUGACGAAAAAUAACGAUACGGGACUCAUCCGAGGCCCCGUAAUCGGAAUGAGUACACUCUAAAUCUUAUAACAAUUAUCAAUUGGAGGGAAAGCCUGGUGCCAGCAGCCGCGGUAAUUCCAGCUCCAAUAGCGUAUAUUAAAGUUGUUGCGGUUAAAAAGCUCGUAGUUGAACUUGUGUCCCGCGCUGUCGGUUCACCGCCCGCGGUGUUUAACUGGCAUGCUCGCGGGACGUCCUACCGGUGGAUGUUUAGUCUAUGUGAUCCUCCGAUCAAUGUUUAGGCACUUCGGUGUUCUAGACUUGAUACGUUUGGGGUAGCAAUGUUUCUAGCAUCCAGGUAUCUCCUGUCGUGGUGCUCUUUAUUGAGUGUCUCGGUGGGCCGGUACGAUUACUUUGAACAAAUUAAAGUGCUUAAAGCAGGCUAAAAUAUUGCCUGAAUAUUCUAUGCAUGGAAUAAUGGAAGAGGACCUCGGUUCUAUUUUGUUGGUUUUCGGAACCCCGAGGUAAUGAUUAAUAGGGACGGAUGGGGGCAUUCGUAUUGCGGCGUUAGAGGUGAAAUUCUUGGAUCGCCGCAAGACGGACAGAAGCGAAAGCAUUUGCCAAAAAUGUUUUCAUUAAUCAAGAACGAAAGUCAGAGGUUCGAAGGCGAUCAGAUACCGCCCUAGUUCUGACCAUAAACGAUGCCAGCCAGCGAUCCGCCGAUGUUCCUCCGAUGACACGGCGGGCAGCUUCCGGGAAACCAAAGCUUUUGGGUUCCGGGGGAAGUAUGGUUGCAAAGCUGAAACUUAAAGGAAUUGACGGAAGGGCACCACCAGUAGUGGAGCCUGCGGCUUAAUUUGACUCAACACGGGAAAGCUUACCAGGCCCAGACACCGGAAGGAUUGACAGAUUGAGAGCUCUUUCUUGAUUCGGUGGGUGGUGGUGCAUGGUCGUUCAUAGUUGGUGGAUCGAUUUGUCUGCUUAAUUGCGAUAACGAACGAGACUCUAGCCUACUAAAUAGGCGCUUAACUUUACCGGUAUCUUGAAGGCUUGUGUCUUUUUGUUUCUGGCUUGUCAUGGUUGCAUAUUGUUCGUUCUUAACGGCCCUUGUGUAGCAUUUUGAUGAGUUCAGUCUUAAAGUUCACAGUUUUUUACUACCGGCGUACAUAUAAAUCUUCUUAGAGGGACAGGCGGCUUCUAGCCGCACGAGAUUGAGCAAUAACAGGUCUGUGAUGCCCUUAGAUGUUCUGGGCCGCACGCGCGCUACACUGAAGGAAUCAGCGUGUUUUCCCUGUCCGAAAGGUCCGGGUAACCCGUUGAACCUCCUUCGUGCUAGGGAUUGGGGCUUGUAAUUCUUCCCCAUAAACGAGGAAUUUCCAGUAAGCGCGAGUCAUUAUCUCGCGUUGAUUAAGUCCCUGCCCUUUGUUCACACCGCCCGUCGCUACUACCGAUUGAAUAAUUUAGUGAGGUCUUCAGACUGGUACGCGGUAUGCUAAAACAUUCCGAUGUUCGCUGG
RNAcentral lists this ribosomal RNA (1915 nucleotides) under Thalassophilus longicornis. Its description in RNAcentral is "SSU rRNA". It matches the Rfam family "Eukaryotic small subunit ribosomal RNA". Lineage: Eukaryota; Metazoa; Arthropoda; Insecta; Coleoptera; Carabidae. The record is from RNAcentral.